GACGAACGCUGGCGGCGUGCUUAACACAUGCAAGUCGAACGGAAAGGCCCUGCUUUUGUGGGGUGCUCGAGUGGCGAACGGGUGAGUAACACGUGAGUAACCUGCCCUUGACUUUGGGAUAACUUCAGGAAACUGGGGCUAAUACCGGAUAGGAGCUCCUGCUGCAUGGUGGGGGUUGGAAAGUUUCGGCGGUUGGGGAUGGACUCGCGGCUUAUCAGCUUGUUGGUGGGGUAGUGGCUUACCAAGGCUUUGACGGGUAGCCGGCCUGAGAGGGUGACCGGCGACAUUGGGACUGAGAUACGGCCCAGACUCCUCCGGGAGGCAGCAGUGGGGAAUAUUGCACAAUGGGCGGAAGCCUGAUGCAGCAACGCCGCGUGCGGGAUGACGGCCUUCGGGUUGUAAACCGCUUUCGCCUGUGACGAAGCGUGAGUGACGGUAAUGGGUAAAGAAGCAACGGCUAACUACGUG
This 468-nucleotide ribosomal RNA is filed under the name uncultured bacterium. RNAcentral's name for it is "partial 16S ribosomal RNA". It matches the Rfam family "Bacterial small subunit ribosomal RNA", at positions 28 to 507 of the family's 1533-position model. The record is from RNAcentral.